RNAcentral lists this ribosomal RNA (1372 nucleotides) under uncultured bacterium. RNAcentral describes it as "bacterial SSU rRNA". It matches the Rfam family "Bacterial small subunit ribosomal RNA", at positions 28 to 1381 of the family's 1533-position model. The record is from RNAcentral.
GAUGAACGCUGGCGGCGUGCCUAAUACAUGCAAGUCGAGCGAACGGACGAGAAGCUUGCUUCUCUGAUGUUAGCGGCGGACGGGUGAGUAACACGUGGAUAACCUACCUAUAAGACUGGGAUAACUUCGGGAAACCGGAGCUAAUACCGGAUGAUAUUUUGAACCGCAUGGUUCAAAAGUGAAAGACGGUCUUGCUGUCACUUAUAGAUGGAUCCGCGCUGCAUUAGCUAGUUGGUAAGGUAACGGCUUACCAAGGCAACGAUGCAUAGCCGACCUGAGAGGGUGAUCGGCCACACUGGAACUGAGACACGGUCCAGACUCCUACGGGAGGCAGCAGUAGGGAAUCUUCCGCAAUGGGCGAAAGCCUGACGGAGCAACGCCGCGUGAGUGAUGAAGGUCUUCGGAUCGUAAAACUCUGUUAUUAGGGAAGAACAUAUGUGUAAGUAACUGUGCACAUCUUGACGGUACCUAAUCAGAAAGCCACGGCUAACUACGUGCCAGCAGCCGCGGUAAUACGUAGGUGGCAAGCGUUAUCCGGAAUUAUUGGGCGUAAAGCGCGCGUAGGCGGUUUUUUAAGUCUGAUGUGAAAGCCCACGGCUCAACCGUGGAGGGUCAUUGGAAACUGGAAAACUUGAGUGCAGAAGAGGAAAGUGGAAUUCCAUGUGUAGCGGUGAAAUGCGCAGAGAUAUGGAGGAACACCAGUGGCGAAGGCGACUUUCUGGUCUGUAACUGACGCUGAUGUGCGAAAGCGUGGGGAUCAAACAGGAUUAGAUACCCUGGUAGUCCACGCCGUAAACGAUGAGUGCUAAGUGUUAGGGGGUUUCCGCCCCUUAGUGCUGCAGCUAACGCAUUAAGCACUCCGCCUGGGGAGUACGACCGCAAGGUUGAAACUCAAAGGAAUUGACGGGGACCCGCACAAGCGGUGGAGCAUGUGGUUUAAUUCGAAGCAACGCGAAGAACCUUACCAAAUCUUGACAUCCUUUGACAACUCUAGAGAUAGAGCCUUCCCCUUCGGGGGACAAAGUGACAGGUGGUGCAUGGUUGUCGUCAGCUCGUGUCGUGAGAUGUUGGGUUAAGUCCCGCAACGAGCGCAACCCUUAAGCUUAGUUGCCAUCAUUAAGUUGGGCACUCUAAGUUGACUGCCGGUGACAAACCGGAGGAAGGUGGGGAUGACGUCAAAUCAUCAUGCCCCUUAUGAUUUGGGCUACACACGUGCUACAAUGGACAAUACAAAGGGCAGCGAAACCGCGAGGUCAAGCAAAUCCCAUAAAGUUGUUCUCAGCUCGGAUUGUAGUCUGCAACUCGACUACAUGAAGCUGGAAUCGCUAGUAAUCGUAGAUCAGCAUGCUACGGUGAAUACGUUCCCGGGUCU